Molecule: ribosomal RNA, 257 nt
Filed under: uncultured bacterium
Lineage: Bacteria
Description: partial 16S ribosomal RNA
Rfam family: Bacterial small subunit ribosomal RNA
Source: RNAcentral
UACGAAGGGGGCUAGCGUUGCUCGGAAUUACUGGGCGUAAAGCGCACGUAGGCGGCUUUCUAAGUCGGGGGUGAAAUCCUGGAGCUCAACUCCAGAACUGCCUUCGAUACUGGAAGCUCGAGUCCGGGAGAGGUGAGUGGGAACUGCGAGUGUAGAGGUGAAAUUCGUAGAUAUUCGCAAGAACACCAGUGGCGAAGGCGGCUCACUGGCCCGGUACUGACGCUGAGGUGCGAAAGCGGAUGGGGAGCAAACGGGGG